RNAcentral lists this transfer RNA (71 nucleotides) under Entomophthora muscae. RNAcentral describes it as "tRNA-Ile". It matches the Rfam family "tRNA". From Rfam's summary of the family: Transfer RNA (tRNA) molecules are approximately 80 nucleotides in length. Lineage: Eukaryota; Fungi; Entomophthoromycota; Entomophthoromycetes; Entomophthorales; Entomophthoraceae. The record is from RNAcentral.
AGGGUUAUAACUUAAUGGCAAAGUGCUUGGCCGAUAACCAAGCGAAAAUGGUUCGAUUCCAUUUAAUCCUA